RNAcentral lists this long non-coding RNA (219 nucleotides) under Lathyrus oleraceus (garden pea). Its description in RNAcentral is "Pisum sativum (pea) long non-coding RNA (PSAT_LNC014372)". The record is from RNAcentral. Lineage: Eukaryota; Viridiplantae; Streptophyta; Magnoliopsida; Fabales; Fabaceae.
GAAUUGGUUCUUUGUAGAUGAGUUCCCUUUAGUCUCUGGAGGUUGCUCUGAACUCUGUUAGCUCUUCUCUCACUAUCUUUUUCCCAGCCAGGGUAAUAGGAAUAGAAAUGCCCUUUUGUUUCACUAAAACUCUGAAUUUAUAACCUGAUUUUUGUGGACCUGUGGGCUCAGAUGAGAGAGGCCCAAGUCCAAAAUUUUUCUGUUAUAUUUUAUUUAUUU